UACGUAGGGGGCGAGCGUUGCCCGAAUUUACUGGGCGUAAAGCGCACGUAGGAGGCUUCGUAAGUCUGGUGUGAAAUCUCACGGCUCAACCGAGAGGCUGCACCAGAUACUGCGAAGCUCGAGGACGGGAGAGGAGAUUGGAAUUCCCGGUGUAGCGGUGAAAUGCAUUGAUAUCGGGAUGAACACCAGUGGCGAAGGUGGAUCUCUGGCCCGUUGCUGACGCUGAGGUGCGAAAGCUGGGGGAGCGAAAGGG
RNAcentral lists this ribosomal RNA (253 nucleotides) under uncultured bacterium. Its description in RNAcentral is "partial 16S ribosomal RNA". It matches the Rfam family "Bacterial small subunit ribosomal RNA", at positions 524 to 776 of the family's 1533-position model. The record is from RNAcentral.